CAGUAGCCACGGUAAUACGUAGGUGGCAAGCGUUGUCCGGAAUUAUUGGGCGUAAAGCGCGCGCAGGUGGUUUAAUAAGUCUGAUGUGAAAGCCCACGGCUCAACCGUGGAGGGUCAUUGGAAACUGUUAAACUUGAGUGCAGGAGAGAAAAGUGGAAUUCCUAGUGUAGCGGUGAAAUGCGUAGAGAUUAGGAGGAACACCAGUGGCGAAGGCGGCUUUUUGGCCUGUAACUGACACUGAGGCGCGAAAGCGUGGGGAGCAAACAGGAUUAGAUACCCGGGUAGUCCCUGUCUCUUAUAC
RNAcentral lists this ribosomal RNA (301 nucleotides) under uncultured bacterium. RNAcentral describes it as "partial 16S ribosomal RNA". It matches the Rfam family "Bacterial small subunit ribosomal RNA", at positions 509 to 807 of the family's 1533-position model. The record is from RNAcentral.